This 304-nucleotide ribosomal RNA is filed under the name uncultured bacterium. RNAcentral's name for it is "partial 16S ribosomal RNA". It matches the Rfam family "Bacterial small subunit ribosomal RNA", at positions 506 to 807 of the family's 1533-position model. The record is from RNAcentral.
CAGCAGUCGCCACGGUAAUACAGAGGGUGCGAGCGUUAAUCGGAUUUACUGGGCGUAAAGCGUGCGUAGGCGGCUAAUUGAGUCGGAUGUGAAAUCCCCGAGCUUAACUUGGGAAUUGCAUUCGAUACUGGUUAGCUAGAGUGUGGGAGAGGAUGGUAGAAUUCCAGGUGUAGCGGUGAAAUGCGUAGAGAUCUGGAGGAAUACCGAUGGCGAAGGCAGCCAUCUGGCCUAACACUGACGCUGAGGUACGAAAGCAUGGGGAGCAAACAGGAUUAGAUACCCGCGUAGUCCCUGUCUCUUAUAC